AUUGAACGCUGGCGGCAGGCCUAACACAUGCAAGUCGAGCGGAUGAAGGGAGCUUGCUCCUGGAUUCAGCGGCGGACGGGUGAGUAAUGCCUAGGAAUCUGCCUGGUAGUGGGGGAUAACGUCCGGAAACGGGCGCUAAUACCGCAUACGUCCUGAGGGAGAAAGUGGGGGAUCUUCGGACCUCACGCUAUCAGAUGAGCCUAGGUCGGAUUAGCUAGUUGGUGGGGUAAAGGCCUACCAAGGCGACGAUCCGUAACUGGUCUGAGAGGAUGAUCAGUCACAGUGGAACUGAGACACGGUCCAGACUCCGACGGGAGGCAGCAGUGGGGAAUAUUGGACAAUGGGCGAAAGCCUGAUCGAGCCAUGACGCGUGUGUGAAGAAGGUCUUCGGAUUGUAAAGCACUUUAAGUUGGGAGGAAGGGCAGUAAGUUAAUACCUUGCUGUUUUGACGUUACCAACAGAAUAAGCACCGGCUAACUUCGU
RNAcentral lists this ribosomal RNA (483 nucleotides) under uncultured bacterium. Its description in RNAcentral is "partial 16S ribosomal RNA". It matches the Rfam family "Bacterial small subunit ribosomal RNA", at positions 30 to 506 of the family's 1533-position model. The record is from RNAcentral.